Molecule: ribosomal RNA, 194 nt
Filed under: uncultured bacterium
Lineage: Bacteria
Description: partial 16S rRNA
Rfam family: Bacterial small subunit ribosomal RNA
Source: RNAcentral
CCUACGGGAGGCAGCAGUGGGGAAUUUUGGACAAUGGGCGCAAGCCUGAUCCAGCAAUGCCGCGUGAGUGAAGAAGGCCUUCGGGUUGUAAAGCUCUUUUGUCAGGGAAGAAACGGUGAGAGCUAAUAUCUCCUGCUAAUGACGGUACCUGAAGAAUAAGCACCGGCUAACUACGUGCCAGCAGCCGCGGUAAU